GACGAACGCUGGCGGCGUGCUUAACACAUGCAAGUCGAACGGAAAGGCCCUGCUUGCAGGGUGCUCGAGUGGCGAACGGGUGAGUAACACGUGGGUGAUCUGCCCCUUACUUUGGGAUAAGCCUGGGAAACUGGGUCUAAUACUGGAUAGGACCAUGCUGUAGGUGGUGUGGUGGAAAGAUUAGUUUCGGUAAGGGAUGAGCUCGCGGCCUAUCAGCUUGUUGGUGGGGUAAUGGCCUACCAAGGCGUCGACGGGUAGCCGGCCUGAGAGGGUGGACGGCCACAUUUGGACUGAGAAGCGGGCCAGAAUCCCGCGGGAGGCAGCAAGGGGGAAUAGUGCACAAUGGGCGCAAGCCUGAUGCAGCGACGCCGCGUGGGGGAUGACGGCCUUCGGGUUGUAAACUCCUUUCAGCCAUGACGAAGCCCUUGUGGUGACGGUAGUGGUAGAAGAAGCACCGGCUAACUACGUG
This 469-nucleotide ribosomal RNA is filed under the name uncultured bacterium. RNAcentral's name for it is "partial 16S ribosomal RNA". It matches the Rfam family "Bacterial small subunit ribosomal RNA", at positions 28 to 507 of the family's 1533-position model. The record is from RNAcentral.